RNAcentral lists this ribosomal RNA (915 nucleotides) under uncultured bacterium. RNAcentral's name for it is "bacterial SSU rRNA". It matches the Rfam family "Bacterial small subunit ribosomal RNA", at positions 10 to 915 of the family's 1533-position model. The record is from RNAcentral.
AGUUUGAUCCUGGCUCAGGAUGAACGCUAGCUACAGGCUUAACACAUGCAAGUCGAGGGGAAACGACAUUGAAAGCUUGCUUUCGAUGGGCGUCGACCGGCGCACGGGUGAGUAACGCGUAUCCAACCUGCCCAUCACUUGGGGAUAACCUUGCGAAAGUAAGACUAAUACCCAAUGACGUCUCUAGAAGACAUCUGAAAGAGAUUAAAGAUUUAUCGGUGAUGGAUGGGGAUGCGUCUGAUUAGCUUGUUGGCGGGGUAACGGCCCACCAAGGCGACGAUCAGUAGGGGUUCUGAGAGGAAGGUCCCCCACAUUGGAACUGAGACACGGUCCAAACUCCUACGGGAGGCAGCAGUGAGGAAUAUUGGUCAAUGGACGAGAGUCUGAACCAGCCAAGUAGCGUGCAGGAUGACGGCCCUAUGGGUUGUAAACUGCUUUUAUAAGGGAAUAAAGUGAGCCUCGUGAGGCUUUUUGCAUGUACCUUAUGAAUAAGGACCGGCUAAUUCCGUGCCAGCAGCCGCGGUAAUACGGAAGGUCCGGGCGUUAUCCGGAUUUAUUGGGUUUAAAGGGAGAGUAGGCCGGAGAUUAAGCGUGUUGUGAAAUGUAGAUGCUCAACAUCUGCACUGCAGCGCGAACUGGUUUCCUUGAGUACGCACAAAGUGGGCGGAAUUCGUGGUGUAGCGGUGAAAUGCUUAGAUAUCACGAAGAACUCCGAUUGCGAAGGCAGCUCACUGGAGCGCAACUGACGCUGAAGCUCGAAAGUGCGGGUAUCGAACAGGAUUAGAUACCCUGGUAGUCCGCACGGUAAACGAUGGAUGCCCGCUGUUGGUCUGAAUAGGUCAGCGGCCAAGCGAAAGCAUUAAGCAUCCCACCUGGGGAGUACGCCGGCAACGGUGAAACUCAAAUGAAUUGACG